Molecule: ribosomal RNA, 450 nt
Filed under: uncultured Glomus
Lineage: Eukaryota; Fungi; Glomeromycota; Glomeromycetes; Glomerales; Glomeraceae
Description: SSU rRNA
Rfam family: Eukaryotic small subunit ribosomal RNA
Source: RNAcentral
AGCAGCCGCGGUAAUUCCAGCUCCAAUAGCGUAUAUUAAAGUUGUUGCAGUUAAAAAGCUCGUAGUUGAACUUCGGGAUCAAUGGAUUGGUCGUGCCCUCGGUACGUACUGGUCUUAUUAGGUUCUCACCUUCUAAUGAACCAUAAUGUCAUUCAUUUGAUGUUAUGGGGAAUUAGGACUGUUACCUUGAAAAAUUAGAGUGUUUAAAGCGGGCUAACGCUUGAAUACAUUAGCAUGGAAUAAUGAAAUAGGACAUCGCAUUCUAUUUUGUUGGUUUCUAGGAUCGAUGUAAUGAUUAAUAGGGAUAGUUGGGGGCAUUAGUAUUCAAUUGUCAGAGGUGAAAUUCUUGGAUUUAUUGAAGACUAACUACUGCGAAAGCAUUUGCCAAGGAUGUUUUCAUUAAUCAAGAACGAAAGUUAGGGGAUCGAAGACGAUCAGAUGCCGUCGUAG